Molecule: transfer RNA, 75 nt
Filed under: Candidatus Woesearchaeota archaeon CG10_big_fil_rev_8_21_14_0_10_30_7
Lineage: Archaea; Nanobdellati; Candidatus Woesearchaeota
Description: tRNA-Arg
Rfam family: tRNA
About the family: Transfer RNA (tRNA) molecules are approximately 80 nucleotides in length. Their secondary structure includes four short double-helical elements and three loops (D, anti-codon, and T loops).
Source: RNAcentral
GCGCCUGUAGCUCAGCUUGGAUAGAGCGAAGCACUCCUAAUGCUUAGGCCGGGAGUUCAAAUCUUCCCAGGCGCG